AACGUAGGUACCGAGCGUUAUCCGGAUUUACUGGGCGUAAAGCGCGUUCAGGCGGUUUGGCAAGUCGGGCAUGAAAUCUCUCGGCUCAACCGGGAGAGGUUGUCCGAUACUUCCAGACUUGAGGGCAGUAGAGGGUGGUGGAAUUCCGGGUGUAGUGGUGAAAUGCGUAGAUAUCCGGAGGAACACCAGUGGCGAAAGCGGCCACCUGGACUGCACCUGACGCUGACACGCGAAAGCAUGGGGAGCGAACAGG
RNAcentral lists this ribosomal RNA (253 nucleotides) under uncultured bacterium. RNAcentral describes it as "partial 16S ribosomal RNA". It matches the Rfam family "Bacterial small subunit ribosomal RNA", at positions 524 to 776 of the family's 1533-position model. The record is from RNAcentral.